RNAcentral lists this ribosomal RNA (232 nucleotides) under Sphingomonas sp. ISOM290_OTU1069. RNAcentral's name for it is "partial 16S ribosomal RNA". It matches the Rfam family "Bacterial small subunit ribosomal RNA", at positions 29 to 289 of the family's 1533-position model. Lineage: Bacteria; Pseudomonadati; Pseudomonadota; Alphaproteobacteria; Sphingomonadales; Sphingomonadaceae. The record is from RNAcentral.
AUGAACGCUGGCGGCAUGCCUAACACAUGCAAGUCGAACGAGACCUUCGGGUCUAGUGGCGCACGGGUGCGUAACGCGUGGGAAUCUGCCCUUGGGUUCGGAAUAACAGCUAGAAAUGGCUGCUAAUACCGGAUGAUGACGUAAGUCCAAAGAUUUAUCGCCCAAGGAUGAGCCCGCGUAGGAUUAGCUAGUUGGUGAGGUAAAGGCUCACCAAGGCGACGAUCCUUAGCUG